CCGGUUUCUCGGCAACAGGCAACGUGGUCCUCUCUCUCUUUUCAGGACUUAUUAAAACAACGAUAUUGAACCAUUAUAAUGGCUCUCUUGGUAAAAACACUGAAGAAAAAAAGAUGCCGAGUAAGGCCAUUUAAUUCUGUUGAUACUGCCGAUAUUUUCACAAAAAGAGGAGAUGGAAUGAGUUCAUUCAUUUCCUUAUUGCAACAGCUGGCAGAAUUGACAUGAGAAGGGGGAAUUAAAAAGGUGGUGUGUUUGGGUGUGUUUGGAGGCCUCUGCGAAGAGUCUGGAUGCUCCUGUCACUGUGCUGCAGUGGACCUGUGGAGGAGGAAAUAAAACUUUCAGUGGAAGAAACGUCACCAUUAUUGCAUGGCCAAAGCUCCGUUCGUCCAUAUUCUUCAUAGAGAUGAUCAUUUUUGAUGAAUUGAUGACCAAGAAUUCUUGGACGAACAUUUGAAGCCAAGUUUAAAGCCUCAGAAGAUGGAUAUACUUCCCCUCAAAUCUGCUCGACAUGUCCGUCCCACUGACAGAAUGUGAUGUGUACUGGUCAAGGAACUUUAUUACUACUGUGCACUCAGGAGAACACACCGUGCCCAAGCUUUUGGGUGACUGACCUUUUGCUUUGACCCUCUGGACAGCACGAUCUUGACUUUUGCCAAACCUGACAAAGGCCAUAUACACUUAUGGAUCACCUUGAAUGUCAAGAACACUUAAAUGAGCAAAGAGGGAGUUUCAUCUAUUGCACGAAACGGACCUAAGUUGGUUAAGGUCAAUGCAAGCUGUCAUCAACAGCCGUUCAACUUGAAGAGAAAAAAAGCACUGUACCAGUGAAGUGUCCUUAAGAUAUAUACGGGUACUAUUGUUUCAAAUAUUGAUUAAUGUUAAUAACCGUUUUGAUGAGCUUAUGCACUUAUUG
Pimephales promelas (fathead minnow) is the source of this 913-nucleotide long non-coding RNA. RefSeq lists it as uncharacterized. The record is from RefSeq and is a predicted model, not a curated record. Lineage: Eukaryota; Metazoa; Chordata; Actinopteri; Cypriniformes; Leuciscidae.